UUAACACAUGCAAGUCGAGCGAGAACCAGUUGAGGGGUAACCCUCGGCUGGGGACAGCGGCGAACGGGUGCGUAACACGUGGGCAACCUGCCCCUGACACUGGGAUAACCCCGGGAAACCGGAGCUAAUACCGGAUACUCUCGGCCGAUCACAUGGCUGGCCGAGGAAAGGUCCGCCGGUCAGGGAUGGGCCCGCGGCCUAUCAGCUUGUUAGCGAGGUAACGGCUCACCAAGGCGACGACGGGUAGCUGGUCUGAGAGGACGACCAGCCACACUGGAACUGAGAUACGGUCCAGACUCCUACGGGAGGCAGCAGUGGGGAAUAUUGCACAAUGGGCGAAAGCCUGAUGCAGCGACGCCGCGUGAGGGAUGAAGGCCUUCGGGUCGUAAACCUCUUUCGGCAGGGACGAAGCGAUCAGUGACGGUACCUGCAGAAGAAGCCCCGGCUAACUACGUGCCAGCAGCCGCGGUAAGACGUAGGGGGCGAGCGUUGUCCGGAUUCAUUGGGCGUAAAGCGCGCGUAGGCGGCUGCGCAAGUCGGUUGUGAAACCCCGGGGCUCAACCCCGGAACUGCAUCCGAUACUGCGUGGCUAGAGGUAGGUAGGGGAGAUCGGAAUUCCUGGUGUAGCGGUGAAAUGCGCAGAUAUCAGGAGGAACACCGGUGGCGAAGGCGGAUCUCUGGGCCUUACCUGACGCUCAGGCG
RNAcentral lists this ribosomal RNA (702 nucleotides) under uncultured soil bacterium. RNAcentral's name for it is "bacterial SSU rRNA". It matches the Rfam family "Bacterial small subunit ribosomal RNA", at positions 48 to 753 of the family's 1533-position model. The record is from RNAcentral.